Molecule: unclassified non-coding RNA, 379 nt
Filed under: soil metagenome
Description: partial contains 5.8S ribosomal RNA, internal transcribed spacer 2, and large subunit ribosomal RNA
Rfam family: 5.8S ribosomal RNA (bases 1-120)
Source: RNAcentral
GAUGAAGAACGCAGCGAAAUGCGAUAAGUAAUGUGAAUUGCAGAAUUCAGUGAAUCAUCGAAUCUUUGAACGCACCUUGCACCCUUUGGCAUUCCGAAGGGUAUGCUCGUUUGAGUGUCAUUGUACUCUCACACUUCCAAUCUUUGGAUUGGGGGCGGUGGACUUGGGUGUUGCUGCUUACUGUGGCUCACCUCAAAUUGAUUCGUGCACCUCUUGGUUGGACAUAGUACGGCGUGAUAAGUGUCUUCGCCGGCACCUCAGUAGAGGGUGGCUGAUCGGGAGCUCUGUGCUUCAAACCGUCCUCGGACAACAACUGACAACUUGACCUCAAAUCGAGUAGGACUACCCGCUGAACUUAAGCAUAUCAAUAAGCGGAGGA